GACGAACGCUGGCGGCGUGCCUAAUACAUGCAAGUAGAACGCUGAAGAGAGGAGCUUGCUCUUCUUGGAUGAGUUGCGAACGGGUGAGUAACGCGUAGGUAACCUGCCUUGUAGCGGGGGAUAACUAUUGGAAACGAUAGCUAAUACCGCAUAACAAUGGAUGCCACAUGUCAUUUAUUUGAAAGGGGCAAUUGCUCCACUACAAGGUGGACCUGCGUUGUAUUAGCUAGUAGGUGAGGUAAUGGCUCACCUAGGCGACGAUACAUAGCCGACCUGAGAGGGUGAUCGGCCACACUGGGACUGAGACACGGCCCAGACUCCUACGGGAGGCAGCAGUAGGGAAUCUUCGGCAAUGGGGGCAACCCUGACCGAGCAACGCCGCGUGAGUGAAGAAGGUUUUCGGAUCGUAAAGCUCUGUUGUAAGUCAAGAACGGGUGUGAGAGUGGAAAGUUCACACUGUGACGGUAGCUUACCAGAAAGGGACGGCUAACUACGUG
RNAcentral lists this ribosomal RNA (497 nucleotides) under uncultured bacterium. RNAcentral describes it as "partial 16S ribosomal RNA". It matches the Rfam family "Bacterial small subunit ribosomal RNA", at positions 28 to 507 of the family's 1533-position model. The record is from RNAcentral.